Non-coding RNA from Salvelinus sp. IW2-2015, 929 nucleotides. NCBI's taxonomy places the organism in Eukaryota, Metazoa, Chordata, Actinopteri, Salmoniformes, Salmonidae. The record is from RefSeq and is a predicted model, not a curated record.
GCCAUCGACAGGACAGUCACACUAAGCGGCUGAGAAAGAAACCGACAACAAAAUGGCUAAAAUGGUGAUGGCUUACAUUGGAUUCCUUCUCCUUGCCUUGCCUUGUUCAUCACAGGUCCACGCGCAAAACAGUACCACAAAAUCCCCAGCCAUCACUGCUAUGACCGAAGCUGGCGACGCGAGUUCCAACAUGACCAAGAUGCCCGAUGUUGUCGCUACCAAGAACAUCACCAUACCCAAAGGAGCCAGUGUGUCCUUGCUGUCCAGCUCGGUCACGCUCUUUCCCAUAGUGUUGGCUGGCCCUCUCCUACACGGUCGCUUCUAGAAGGCUCCUUCCUGUACACUGCAAAGACGGGGAAAACUGUUUUAGAAAGAGCACACUUUUAUAACUUAAAGGCAGUAAUGUGUACACCUAACCAUAGAUUCAGUGUAAUUGGGGUGCUGCAAGAACAUAUUUCUAAUUUGCUGAUGGGAUUUCUUAUUUGGGCUCCCACCUCCCUGGCCACUUCAAACCAGUAGGCCUAUACACCUUGUGCACAGGGCCUAUGGUGUGGACCCCCUCCAUGGUGGCAGGCCAUGAUGAGGAUGUGUGAAACUGGACUCUUUGACUCGUUUGUUACCACUGUUCCUGUGUAGAUGGCAGGGUCGUUUUUUUAAACUUAUGAAGUGUAAAUUUGCACAGUGAUUGGGUAGUCUACUAAUAUAAAGAAGUUGGUUUGAGGUGCAUUGUGGAACAUAAUGUCUGAUCUUUGGCAUGCAUGGCUUUAGCGGUAGUGUUUCUAAUCCUGCAAUGGACACUAAAGCGUAUGUGAUUAUUAUUUGAAGAAUAUCAUUUGUUUUGUCAUGUGUUAACUAAUUCUUUGAAAUGUACUUGUCACAAAAUGUAUUUGUUCUUGUAGGCUACAAUAAAAUUACAUGGGCCUAACUGA